RNAcentral lists this ribosomal RNA (251 nucleotides) under uncultured bacterium. RNAcentral's name for it is "partial 16S ribosomal RNA". It matches the Rfam family "Bacterial small subunit ribosomal RNA", at positions 525 to 775 of the family's 1533-position model. The record is from RNAcentral.
ACGUAGGGGGCAAGCGUUAUCCGGAUUUACUGGGUGUAAAGGGAGCGUAGACGGCACGGCGAGCCAGAUGUGAAAGCCCGGGGCUCAACCCCGGGACUGCAUUUGGAACUGCUGAGCUAGAGUGUCGGAGAGGCAAGUGGAAUUCCUAGUGUAGCGGUGAAAUGCGUAGAUAUUAGGAGGAACACCAGUGGCGAAGGCGGCUUGCUGGACGAUGACUGACGUUGAGGCUCGAAAGCGUGGGGAGCAAACAG